GGUUACUGCUAUCGGUGUUCGCCUAAGCCAUGCGAGUCAUAUGUUCGUAAGAACAUGGCGUACUGCUCAGUAACACGUGGAUAACCUGCCCUUGGGUCCGGCAUAACCCCGGGAAACUGGGGAUAAUUCCGGAUAACGCACAUAUGCUGGAAUGCUUUAUGCGUAAAAUGGAUUCGUCUGCCCAAGGAUGGGUCUGCGGCCUAUCAGGUAGUAGUGGGUGUAAUGUACCUACUAGCCUACGACGGGUACGGGUUGUGAGAGCAAGAGCCCGGAGAUGGAUUCUGAGACAUGAAUCCAGGCCCUACGGGGCGCAGCAGGCGCGAAAACUUUACAAUGCGGGAAACCGUGAUAAGGGGACACCGAGUGCCAGCAUCCUAUGCUGGCUGUCCGGGUGUGUAAAAUACACCUGUUAGCAAGGGCCGGGCAAGACCGGUGCCAGCCGCCGCGGUAACACCGGCGGCCCGAGUGGUGAUCGUGAUUAUUGGGUCUAAAGGGUCCGUAGCCGGUUUGGUCAGUCCUCCGGGAAAUCUGACAGCUUAACUGUUAGGCUUUCGGAGGAUACUGCCAGACUUGGAACCGGGAGAGGUAAGAGGUACUACAGGGGUAGGAGUGAAAUCUUGUAAUCCCUGUGGGACCACCUGUGGCGAAGGCGUCUUACCAGAACGGGUUCGACGGUGAGGGACGAAAGCUGGGGGCACGAACCGGAUUAGAUACCCGGGUAGUCCCAGCCGUAAACGAUGCUCGCUAGGUGUCAGGCAUGGCGCGACCGUGUCUGGUGCCGCAGGGAAGCCGUGAAGCGAGCCACCUGGGAAGUACGGCCGCAAGGCUGAAACUUAA
RNAcentral lists this ribosomal RNA (837 nucleotides) under uncultured archaeon. RNAcentral's name for it is "bacterial SSU rRNA". It matches the Rfam family "Archaeal small subunit ribosomal RNA", at positions 21 to 859 of the family's 1478-position model. The record is from RNAcentral.